UACAGAGGGGGCAAGCGUUGUUCGGAAUUACUGGGCGUAAAGGGCGCGUAGGCGGCCCGCUAAGUCGAACGUGAAAUCCCCGGGCUUAACCUGGGAACUGCGUCUGAUACUGGACGGCUAGAGUUUGGGAGAGGGAUGCAGAAUUCCAGGUGUAGCGGUGAAAUGCGUAGAUAUCUGGAGGAAUACCGGUGGCGAAGGCGGCAUCCUGGACCAACACUGACACUGAAUCGCGAAAGCUAGGGGAGCAAACGGG
This 253-nucleotide ribosomal RNA is filed under the name uncultured bacterium. Its description in RNAcentral is "partial 16S ribosomal RNA". It matches the Rfam family "Bacterial small subunit ribosomal RNA", at positions 524 to 776 of the family's 1533-position model. The record is from RNAcentral.